RNAcentral lists this ribosomal RNA (800 nucleotides) under uncultured bacterium. RNAcentral's name for it is "bacterial SSU rRNA". It matches the Rfam family "Bacterial small subunit ribosomal RNA", at positions 8 to 791 of the family's 1533-position model. The record is from RNAcentral.
AGAGUUUGAUCCUGGCUCAGAAUCAACGCUGGCGGCGUGCCUAACACAUGCAAGUCGCGCGCGAAAGGGGGGCAACCCCCGAGUAGAGCGGCGAACGGGUGAGUAACGCGUGGGUGAUCUGCCUCCGAGUGGGGAAUAACACCGGGAAACUGGUGCUAAUACCGCAUGACAUCCUCGAGUCGCAUCGGGGAUCAAAGCCGGGGACCGCAAGGCCUGGCGCUUGGAGAUGAGCCCGCGUCCGAUUAGCUAGUUGGCGGGGUAACGGCCCACCAAGGCUUCGAUCGGUAGCCGGCCUGAGAGGGCGGACGGCCACACUGGGACUGAGACACGGCCCAGACUCCUACGGGAGGCAGCAGUGGGGAAUUUUUCGCAAUGGGGGAAACCCUGACGAAGCAACGCCGCGUGGAGGAUGAAGGCCUUCGGGUCGUAAACUCCUGUCGACCGGGAAGAAUGCGCCCGACCUAAUACGUCGAAGUGUUGACUGUACCGGUGGAGGAAGCCACGGCUAACUCUGUGCCAGCAGCCGCGGUAAUACAGAGGUGGCAAGCGUUGUUCGGAAUUACUGGGCGUAAAGGGCGCGUAGGCGGCCCGCCAAGUCCCGUGUGAAAGCCCCCGGCUCAACCGGGGAACGGCGCGGGAAACUAGCAGGCUUGAGUUCGGGAGAGGGAAGCGGAAUUCCGGGUGUAGCGGUGAAAUGCGCAGAUAUCCGGAGGAACACCGGUGGCGAAGGCGGCUUCCUGGACCGACACUGACGCUGAGGCGCGAAAGCUAGGGGAGCAAACGGGAUUAGAUACCCCGGU